UGACCUCGAUCAGGUAGGGAUACC
This 24-nucleotide ribosomal RNA is filed under the name Didymella pinodella. RNAcentral describes it as "partial 28S ribosomal RNA". The record is from RNAcentral. Lineage: Eukaryota; Fungi; Ascomycota; Dothideomycetes; Pleosporales; Didymellaceae.